Oncorhynchus tshawytscha (Chinook salmon) is the source of this 1190-nucleotide long non-coding RNA. RefSeq lists it as uncharacterized. The record is from RefSeq and is a predicted model, not a curated record. Lineage: Eukaryota; Metazoa; Chordata; Actinopteri; Salmoniformes; Salmonidae. The transcript is spliced from 4 exons.
CAGCAGAACAAUCAAAACCUCAUCUUGAAAAAAUCUCUUCCUGAGAGAGAGAGAGAGAGAGAGGGGGGCGCAAAAGAGAGAGCGGGCUUUGAGAGAACUAUUGACUUUUCUAAACACAACAUUUUCAGACUAUAUUCACAUAAGUACUAUAGAUCUCCAGCACUUAAAUUCAGACAGAAUAGAAUAACAAAAGUACACUUGACUUACCUUGAGAGACAGAGAAGACAUGAGCAGAGUUAACAUGAGUGGUGUGCUCAUCUUCUUCAUGGUCGCCAUCACUGCUGUGCAGGGACAAAAAUCAGUGUGUGAAAACUGCUUGAGCUGGAUGUGACUCUGGUCACCAGAGUUGGGGACCUGCUGGUGAAAGGAGAGUCAUCAUGAAAGUCAUCUUCAUUGUGUAUAGCUGGGCUCAGAAGAAGUCUGGACCUGCUGCACCCCAAAAACAGACGUACCGCUCAGCAGGCCGUGGUCCACCAGUGGUGCCAAGUCCUGACUAUGAGCCCCUUAGCGUGGCAACCUGCAGCAGAGAUAUCUACGCUACCCACAGGACUGGGUAGACUAUCCUUUCACCAGACCACACCUGUUCUCUAGGACCCCUCUGAUGCCCUGGACCAGCAGGCCUCAGCUCACCCUGCCAUCAAAGAGGAGGGGAGAAGGCUCUGUAGUUCUUAGCAUAGACUUAAAGAGCUUCUUAUUUGAGCUUGAUGUGUAAAAAGUGUGAUAUCAUGAUUUAGUUAAAACUAUAGUUCAGAAUUACUGUAACUAGCGAUAAUAGUGAUCAACAUAGUGUUGCUCGACUUUUAGAUGUUUGCUGUACUGAAAAACAACUUGUACAUAUCUGUGUAGAUCAACUGUUGUAAAAUGGUAUCAAUGCAUGCAGAUGCCAAGUUCUUCCUCCUCACAAUGUUAAUGCUGCCUGUAUAUACACUGAGUGUACAAAACACCAUCCUAAUAUUGAGUUGAACCCCCUUUUGCACUUAGAACAGCAUCAAUUCAUUGGGUUAUGGGCUACAAGGUGUCGAAAUCGUUCCACAGGGAUGCUGGCCGAUGUAGACUCCAAGGCUUGCCACAGUAGUGUCAAGUUGGCUGGAUGUUCUGUGGGUGUUGGACCAUUCUUGAUACACACAGGACACUGUUGUCUUGCCCAUUCACCCUCUGAAUGGCACACACACAAUCUAUGUCUCAAUCCA